This 216-nucleotide unclassified non-coding RNA is filed under the name fungal sp. RNAcentral's name for it is "partial internal transcribed spacer region". The stretch from base 1 to 46 matches the Rfam family "Eukaryotic small subunit ribosomal RNA", at positions 1786 to 1831 of the family's 1831-position model. The record is from RNAcentral. Lineage: Eukaryota; Fungi.
AAGUCGUAACAAGGUUUCCGUAGGUGAACCUGCGGAAGGAUCAUUACCGAGAGUUGCGGGCUUUGCCUGCCAUCUCUUACCCAUGUCUUUUGCGUACCGCAUGUUUCCUCGGCAGGCUCGCCUGCCGGGUGAAACAACUUCAAACCUGUUUAAUUUUCAAUCAGCGUCUGAACAAAUUAAUAAUUACAACUUUCAACAACGGAUCUCUUGGUUCUG